GUGGAGGAAUUGUAUUACCUAUACAAUCAAGAUGCACUUGACAAGUCACUCAUCAAUUCCUAGGUUCUGUAAAUCUUUAAUUUGCUCUAACUUCAAAAUCUCUGCUCUAAUCAUUGUGCGAUGUCUUAACUCCUAUUUGAUUUUGUAUCAUACAGGAUGAAGAUUCAAACUUGUCGGAGGAAAGGAUACUAUGACGUCGGCUUCAUGGACCCCGAUGUUGUAAACGAGUCAACUCUAAGAGGUAAACCAAAUCGAACAUUGAAGAAUAUAUAUAAGUUCAU
RNAcentral lists this long non-coding RNA (281 nucleotides) under Setaria viridis. RNAcentral describes it as "long non-coding RNA (SVIR_LNC003560)". The record is from RNAcentral. Lineage: Eukaryota; Viridiplantae; Streptophyta; Magnoliopsida; Poales; Poaceae.